AACGCACAUUGCGCCCUGUGGUAUUCCGCAGGGCAUGCCUGUUCGAGCGUCAUUUCAACCCUCAAGCCCUGCUUGGUGUUGGGCCCUGCCCGCUGCGGCCGGCCCUAAAGUCAGUGGCGGCGCCGUCCGGCUCUAAGCGUAGUACAUCUCUCGCUCUAGGGCCCCGCGGUGGCUUGCCAGCAACCCCAACUCCUAUGGUUGACCUCGGAUCAGGUAGGGAUACCCGCUGAACUUAA
Molecule: unclassified non-coding RNA, 236 nt
Filed under: uncultured fungus
Lineage: Eukaryota; Fungi
Description: partial contains 5.8S ribosomal RNA, internal transcribed spacer 2, and large subunit ribosomal RNA
Rfam family: 5.8S ribosomal RNA (bases 1-52)
Source: RNAcentral